RNAcentral lists this microRNA precursor (145 nucleotides) under Podarcis lilfordi (Lilford's wall lizard). The record is from RNAcentral. Lineage: Eukaryota; Metazoa; Chordata; Lepidosauria; Squamata; Lacertidae.
UGUCCAGUAGCACCUUAGAGACCAGCUAAGUAUGUUCUGGGUAUAAGUUCUUGUGUGCAUGCACACUUCUUCAGAUACCGUGUGUAUGCACACGAAAGUUUACACCCAGAACAUACUUAGUUGGUCUCUAAGGUGCUACUGGACA